AGCACCGGCUACUCCGUGCCAGCAGCCGCGGUAAUACGGAGGGUGCAAGCGUUAAUCGGAAUUACUGGGCGUAAAGCGCACGCAGGCGGUCUGUCAAGUCGGAUGUGAAAUCCCCGGGCUCAACCUGGGAACUGCAUUCGAAACUGGCAGGCUUGAGUCUUGUAGAGGGGGGUAGAAUUCCAGGUGUAGCGGUGAAAUGCGUAGAGAUCUGGAGGAAUACAGGUGGCGAAGGCGGCCCCCUGGACAAAGACUGACGCUCAGGUGCGAAAGCGUGGGGAGCAAACAGGAUUAGAUACACUGGUAGUCCACGCCGUAAACGAUGUCUACUUGGAGGUUGUGCCCUUGAGGCGUGGCUUCCGGAGCUAACGCGUUAAGUAGACAGCCUGGGGAGUACGGCCGCAAGGUUAAAACUCAAAUGAAUUGACAGGGGCCCGCACAAGCGGUGGAGCAUGUGGUUUAAUUCGAUGCAACGCGAAGAACCUUACCUGGUCUUGACAUCCACAGAACUUUCCAG
Molecule: ribosomal RNA, 514 nt
Filed under: Salmonella enterica subsp. enterica
Lineage: Bacteria; Pseudomonadati; Pseudomonadota; Gammaproteobacteria; Enterobacterales; Enterobacteriaceae
Description: bacterial SSU rRNA
Rfam family: Bacterial small subunit ribosomal RNA
Source: RNAcentral